GAGUAAAGAUUUCGGUCGCUUUGGGAGGAGCUCGCUUACUAUCAGCUUGUUGGUAGGGUAAUGGCCUACCAAGGCUAUGACGGUUAGGGGGUGUGAGAGCAUGACCCCCAGCAUUGGCACUGAAACACUGGCCAAACACCUACGGGUGGCUGCAGUCGAGAAUCUUCCACAAUGGGGGAAACCCUGAUGGAGCGAUGCUGCGUGCGGGAUGAAGGCCUUCGGGUUGUAAACCGCUUUUGUAGGGGACGAAAUUUUUGACGGUACCCUUUCGAAUAAGAGGUUGCUAACUCUGUGCCAGCAGCAGCGGUAAUACAGAGACCUCAAGCGUUAUCCGGAUUUACUGGGCGUAAAGCGUCUGUAGGGGGUUUAUUAAGUUCCAAGUAAAAUUUCAAGGCUCAACUUUGAAUUCGCUUGGAAAACUAAUAAACUGGAGUCUAGCAGAGGUGCAUGGAACUUGUGGUGUAGGAGUGAAAUCCGUUGAUAUCGCAAGGAACACCAAAGGCGAAGGCAUUGCACUGGGCUAGCACUGACCCUGAGAGACGAAAGCGUGGGGAGCAAAACGGAUUAGAUACCCGUGUAGUCCACGCCCUAAACGAUGAAUGCUAAAUGUUCGGGGAUUCGACCCCCUGGGUGUUACAGCUAACGCGUUAAGCAUUCCGCCUGGGAAGUACGGCCGCAAGGCUAAAACUCAAAGGAAUAGACGGGGAUCCGCACAAGCGGUGGAGCGUCUGGUUUAAUUCGACAGUAAGCGUGGUACCUCACCAGGGUUUGACAUCCCUUGACAGCCUUGGAAACAAGGUUUCCUUCGGGCAAGGUGACAGGUGCUGCAUGGUCGUCGUCAGUUCGUGCCGUGAGGUGUUCCGUUAAGUCGGGAAACGAACGAAACCCCUAUUGCAUGUUACAAUUUCUCAUGCAAGACUGCCCGGAUAUACUGGGAGGAAGGUGGGGAUGACGUCAGAUCUGCAUGGUCCUUAUACCCUGGGCGACACAGGCGCUACAAUGGCAGAGACAAAGGGUUGCAAAACCGCAAGGUGAAGCUAAUCCCAAAAACUUUGUCUAAGUUCGGAUUGAAGGCUGCAAUUCGCCUUCAUGAAGCUGGAAUCGCUAGUAAUCGUGAAUCAGCCACGUCACGGUGAAUAUGUUCCCGGAUCUUGUACUCACCGCCCGUCACACCAAGAGAGUUGGUAGCUCC
Molecule: ribosomal RNA, 1192 nt
Filed under: uncultured organism
Description: bacterial SSU rRNA
Rfam family: Bacterial small subunit ribosomal RNA
Source: RNAcentral